RNAcentral lists this ribosomal RNA (433 nucleotides) under uncultured bacterium. RNAcentral describes it as "partial 16S ribosomal RNA". It matches the Rfam family "Bacterial small subunit ribosomal RNA", at positions 29 to 507 of the family's 1533-position model. The record is from RNAcentral.
AACGAACGCUGGCGGCAUGCCUAACACAUGCAAGUCGAACGAGACCUUCGGGUCUAGUGGCGCACGGGUGCGUAACGCGUGGGAACCUGCCCUUAGGUUCGGAAUGACUCCCCGAAAGGGGUGCUAAUACCGGAUAAUGUCUUCGGACCAAAGAUUUAUCGCCUUUGGAUGGGCCCGCGUUGGAUUAGCUAGUUGGUAGGGUAAAAGCCUACCAAGGCGACGAUCCAUAGCUGGUCUGAGAGGAUGAUCAGCCACACUGGGACUGAGACACGGCCCAGACUCCUACGGGAGGCAGCAGUGGGGAAUAUUGGACAAUGGGCGAAAGCCUGAUCCAGCAAUGCCGCGUGAGUGAUGAAGGCCUUAGGGUUGUAAAGCUCUUUUACCCGGGAUGAUAAUGGCAGUACCGGGAGAAUAAGCUCCGGCUAACUCCGUG